ACCAUUUUGGCGGAGACAAACGCGCAAAAUUUAGAAUUUUGAUACGGUUAUCCAAAUGGUA
RNAcentral lists this transfer RNA (61 nucleotides) under Pandorites podoceroides. RNAcentral's name for it is "tRNA-Leu". Lineage: Eukaryota; Metazoa; Arthropoda; Malacostraca; Amphipoda; Pontogammaridae. The record is from RNAcentral.